GGUAGCUUGUGCCUGGUGGUAGUCGUAGUGCUGUUCCUAAUGCAGAGAUGGCGAAAAUGCAUUUGAUUUUAUCCACAUCUCUCUGUAUUGUUUAUGGGGUUAGUGUUGCCUUUACACACGACGCUUGGCGUGUAGGAACUUGAUCGCAGUAACGACGUUUGGUUUUGAAGAUCUAGAAGUUAGUUCAACACGUGGUACGGUCGCAUGUAUGCUGCAUCAAUUGAGUCGAUGUCCUGCACGAGGUUAAGAGCGCUGCACCAAAGCCAGGCUAUGCGCGUGAAUUGUCACAACAUAUAUGGCAUCACAGGCCAUAAGCAUGAAUCCGACAAACAUACUUGGAGCCAAUGCUACUUGCUGGUGAGUACUUACUGCGCCUCAUGAUAUUCCAAAGCUUUAUACUUGAUCUAUUUGAUGAUGAAACCCUAACUGAAAGCUGGAAUUACCGUCAGAUUGUUCAGUGUUGAUAAUUCAGGUUCUGAAUGCUGUAUCUAAUCAGCGUUAUAGCUUGAAGCUGUUGGUUGUAUUAAAAAUAAACAAAUAUAUUUUUCACAGGCCAUAAGCAUGAAUCCGACAAACAUACUUGCAGCCAAUGCUACUGGCUGGCCAUAAGCAUGAAUCCGACAAACACUUGCAGCCAAUGCUACUUGCUGGCCAUAAGCAUGAAUCCGACAAACAUACUUGCAGCCAAUGCUACUGCCUGGCCAUAAGCAUGAAUCCGACAAACAUAUUUGGAGCCAAUGCUACUUGUUGGAAAUGCGUCCGUGCAUCCCCUGAUUCGUGGUAUUUAACUCCAUGGGAUAAUUUGGAAUGCUGUGGUUGACCUACAAUAAAUUGAUGGAGGAAAUUUGUAAAUGUGUC
This is a long non-coding RNA of Clupea harengus (Atlantic herring), 858 nucleotides long. NCBI's taxonomy places the organism in Eukaryota, Metazoa, Chordata, Actinopteri, Clupeiformes, Clupeidae. The record is from Ensembl.